UACAGAGGUCUCAAGCGUUGUUCGGAUUCAUUGGGCGUAAAGGGUGCGUAGGCGGCGCGGUAAGUCGGGUGUGAAAUCUCGGAGCUUAACUCCGAAACUGCAUUCGGUACUGCCGUGCUUGAGGACUGGAGAGGAGACUGGAAUUUACGGUGUAGCGGUGAAAUGCGUAGAUAUCUGGAGGAACACCGGUGGCGAAGGCGACAUCCUGGACCGGUAUUGACGCUGAGGCGCGAAAGCCAGGGGAGCAAACGGG
Molecule: ribosomal RNA, 253 nt
Filed under: uncultured bacterium
Lineage: Bacteria
Description: partial 16S ribosomal RNA
Rfam family: Bacterial small subunit ribosomal RNA
Source: RNAcentral